UACGUAGGUGGCAAGCGUUGUCCGGAUUUACUGGGCGUAAAGGGCGCGUAGGCGGCUUGUCAAGUCACUUGUGAAAUCUCUGGGCUUAACCCAGAACGGCCAAGUGAAACUGACAUGCUAGAGUGCAGAAGGGGCAAUCGGAAUUCUUGGUGUAGCGGUGAAAUGCGUAGAUAUCAAGAGGAACACCUGAGGUGAAGACGGGUUGCUGGGCUGACACUGACGCUGAGGCGCGAAAGCCAGGGGAGCAAACGGG
RNAcentral lists this ribosomal RNA (253 nucleotides) under uncultured bacterium. Its description in RNAcentral is "partial 16S ribosomal RNA". It matches the Rfam family "Bacterial small subunit ribosomal RNA", at positions 524 to 776 of the family's 1533-position model. The record is from RNAcentral.